RNAcentral lists this ribosomal RNA (427 nucleotides) under uncultured bacterium. RNAcentral's name for it is "partial 16S ribosomal RNA". It matches the Rfam family "Bacterial small subunit ribosomal RNA", at positions 355 to 774 of the family's 1533-position model. The record is from RNAcentral.
UGGGGAAUAUUGGACAAUGGGCGAAAGCCUGAUCCAGCCAUGCCGCGUGUGUGAAGAAGGUCUUCGGACUGUAAAGCACUUUAAGUUGGGAGGAAGGGCAUUAACCUAAUACGUUAGUGUUUUGACGUUACCGACAGAAUAAGCACCGGCUAACUCUGUGCCAGCAGCCGCGGUAAUACAGAGGGGGCAAGCGUUAAUCGGAAUUACUGGGCGUAAAGCGCGCGUAGGUGGUUUGUUAAGUUGGAUGUGAAAUCCCCGGGCUCAACCUGGGAACUGCAUUCAAAACUGACUGACUAGAGUAUGGUAGAGGGUGGUGGAAUUUCCUGUGUAGCGGUGAAAUGCGUAGAUAUAGGAAGGAACACCAGUGGCGAAGGCGACCACCUGGACUAAUACUGACACUGAGGUGCGAAAGCGUGGGGAGCAAACA